CCUACGGGAGGCAGCAGUGAGGAAUAUUGGUCAAUGGACGCAAGUCUGAACCAGCCAUGCCGCGUGCAGGAAGACGGCUCUAUGAGUUGUAAACCUCUUUUGCCGGGGAGCAACGGGCGCCACGUGUGGCGUCACUGAGAGUACCCGGAGAAAAAGCAUCGGCUAACUCCGUGCCAGCAGCCGCGGUAAUACGGAGGAUGCGAGCGUUAUCCGGAUUUAUUGGGUUUAAAGGGUGCGUAGGCGGAUCGUUAAGUCAGUGGUCAAAUUGAGGGGCUCAACCCCUUCCCGCCAUUGAAACUGGCGUUCUUGAGUGGAAGAGAAGUAUGCGGAAUGCGUGGUGUAGCGGUGAAAUGCAUAGAUAUCACGCAGAACCCCGAUUGCGAAGGCAGCAUGUCGGCUUCCGACUGACGCUGAAGCACGAAAGCGUGGGGAUCGAACAGGAUUAGAUACCCUUGUAGUC
RNAcentral lists this ribosomal RNA (460 nucleotides) under uncultured bacterium. RNAcentral's name for it is "partial 16S ribosomal RNA". It matches the Rfam family "Bacterial small subunit ribosomal RNA", at positions 338 to 795 of the family's 1533-position model. The record is from RNAcentral.